GACGAACGCUGGCGGCGUGCCUAAUACAUGCAUGUAGGACGCAGUUGCGAACGGGUGAGUAACGCGUAGGUAACUGCCUAUUCGAGGGGGAUAACUAUGGGACACGAUAGCUAAUACCGCAUCCUAGUAGAUGGAACUGAGUUGUAUUAGCUAGUAGGUAGGGUAAUGGCCUAUCUAGGCGACGAUACAUAGCCGACCUGAGUGGGUGAGCGGCCCCCCUGGGAUUGUGACACGGCCCAGACUCCUGCGGGAGGCAGCACGAGGGACUCCUCGGCAAUUGGGGGACCCCUGAGCGAGCAACGCCGCUGGAGUGACGAAGGUUUUCGGGUCGUAACGCGCUGUUGUUAAGGAAGCGGUACUUAUCCAGAAAGGGACGGCGAUCUACGUGCCAGCAGCCGCGGUAAUUC
This 407-nucleotide ribosomal RNA is filed under the name uncultured bacterium. RNAcentral's name for it is "partial 16S ribosomal RNA". It matches the Rfam family "Bacterial small subunit ribosomal RNA", at positions 28 to 526 of the family's 1533-position model. The record is from RNAcentral.